UAGGGAAUCUUCGGCAAUGGGGGGAACCCUGACCGAGCAACGCCGCGUGAGUGAAGAAGGUUUUCGGAUCGUAAAGCUCUGUUGUUAAGGAAGAACGAGUGUGAGAAUGGAAAGUUCAUACUGUGACGGUACUUAACCAGAAAGGGACGGCUAACUACGUGCCAGCAGCCGCGGUAAUACGUAGGUCCCGAGCGUUGUCCGGAUUUAUUGGGCGUAAAGCGAGCGCAGGCGGUUAGAUAAGUCUGAAGUUAAAGGCAGUGGCUCAACCAUUGUAGGCUUUGGAAACUGUUUAACUUGAGUGCAGAAGGGGAGAGUGGAAUUCCAUGUGUAGCGGUGAACUGCGUAGAUAUAUGGAGGAACACCGGUGGCGAAGGCGGCUCUCUGGUCUGUAACUGACGCGGAGGCUCGAAAGCGUGGGGAGCGAACAGG
Molecule: ribosomal RNA, 429 nt
Filed under: Bacteroidota bacterium
Lineage: Bacteria; Pseudomonadati; Bacteroidota
Description: Bacteroidetes bacterium partial 16S ribosomal RNA
Rfam family: Bacterial small subunit ribosomal RNA
Source: RNAcentral